CAAGACGUAGCUACAAUACAAAGCAUUCAGCUUACACCUGAAAGAUAUCUGCCACCGAACCGGAUCGUCUUGA
Molecule: transfer RNA, 73 nt
Filed under: Bostrychia hagedash (Hadada ibis)
Lineage: Eukaryota; Metazoa; Chordata; Aves; Pelecaniformes; Threskiornithidae
Description: tRNA-Val
Source: RNAcentral